This 250-nucleotide ribosomal RNA is filed under the name uncultured bacterium. Its description in RNAcentral is "partial 16S ribosomal RNA". It matches the Rfam family "Bacterial small subunit ribosomal RNA", at positions 355 to 622 of the family's 1533-position model. The record is from RNAcentral.
UGAGGAAUCUUGGACAAUGGGGGCAACCCUGAUCCAGCCAUGCCGCGUGAGUGAUGAAGGCCUUCGGGUUGUAAAGCUCUUUUAGAUGUGAAGAUAAUGACGGUAGCAUCAGAAAAAGCUCCGGCUAACUCCGUGCCAGCAGCCGCGGUAAUACGGAGGGAGCGAGCGUUGUUCGGAAUUACUGGGCGUAAAGCGUAUGUAGGCGGUUUUGUAAGUCAGGUGUGAAAUCCCAGAGCUCAACUUUGGAACU